Molecule: long non-coding RNA, 1255 nt
Organism: Calypte anna (Anna's hummingbird)
Lineage: Eukaryota; Metazoa; Chordata; Aves; Apodiformes; Trochilidae
Exons: 8
Source: RefSeq, a predicted model, not a curated record
GAGGAGGAGGCCGAGGGGUGCCCCUCACAGCCCGGGCCCGCAGCGCCGCCUCAGCCUGCAGGGGCUCCCGCCGCUCGAUUCACAAAAUGGCCGCCCCGCGUGGACACGACGAGCGCCGCUGAGGCGACAAAAUGGCGCCGGGCGGCCAAGCAAGGGGAAGGACGAACGGACGGACGGAUGGAGCCGGGGCGGCGAGUGCGGGCUUCAGCCGUGCCAGGAACACGGCGGAGGGGGCUCUUUUUAAUGGUUGAAGCCGCUGCCUCCCGAUCUCUUCACGGCUUGGAAAAUACCCAAACGCACUUUCAUUUAAAAAAAAAAACAAAAAAAAACCACCCCAAAACCCAAACCAACCAGCCAAAUAAAACACCCGAGGAUCGAUUUAUCUUCAGAGCCUGAGUGGCACAGGGAAGAAGCCGUCGCCUUGCUCCACGACAACCUGUCCACCAUUUGGUUUAUUAAAAUCAUGUACUCGGUGUGAUCGGAUGUCGUAAUACCGUAGAAAAAAAAAACCAAAAAACCCCGUAACAUCCCCGUUGUUGGAGGCUGCAGCCAAGAAAUUUCUACGGGGGAGGGGAGCACCCACUGCGGAGCCUUUGCCGCAGCGCCGGGCAGGCGUGGUCCCUGCUGCUGGGGGAGGAGAAAGGAGAAGAAGAAGGGAAAUGCAGGAGUGUUUGUGUAACCCCUCUCCCCAGCAGAUACCUUCUUUGGAUGUGUUGGUUUGGAGGUACACCUCGUCCUCGGUGGUGGCAUGGAGGAAUGGUGGACCAAGAAGCUGCUGUUGGGGAUAUUUCCACAUUUUUCAGUAUUUUGCAGCCUGGAAAACUGAAGUCCUCUGUCUAGCUGGUGAAAUACAAGCCCCAGCGACACGUGGCAGCGAGCUCCACCACUCGGGGUCCCAUGGCUUUCCCUGCAGUCCGUGGAUGUCCCUCCUGGCCACCCUGCCUGCAAGAUGGCCCUGUGACAGCAGCCACCGUGUGACAGCAGCCACCCUGCCUCAGGCUUCUUUGCAGGACCUGGGAGUCUGCAUGCCCCAUCAGGGAGAGCAGAAUUCAGCACCUAAAAGCUGUUUGGUAUGGGGUUUGGGUUUCUUCCUCUCCAAAAUGGUGCUGUUAAAGGUAUCAACGUGUAGCACUCAUUCUUUGGGCUUCUGGCCAGUUAACACCAGAACUGAGCCCAUUUCCACAGAGAAGAAACGUGGUGGAAGGCACACAUCAGCAGUGCCCUUUCCCGUGCAGACACAGUUCUGUCACACGUU